This 1359-nucleotide ribosomal RNA is filed under the name bacterium 17(2010). RNAcentral describes it as "bacterial SSU rRNA". It matches the Rfam family "Bacterial small subunit ribosomal RNA", at positions 76 to 1432 of the family's 1533-position model. The record is from RNAcentral.
ACGCUUGCGUCGGGGAUUAGUGGCGAACGGGUGAGUAACACGUGAGUUAACCUGCCCUUAACUCUGGGAUAAGCCUUGGAAACGGGGUCUAAUACUGGAUAUUGACUUUACCUCGCAUGGGGUUUGGUUGAAAGAUUUAUUGGUUUUGGAUGGACUCGCGGCCUAUCAGCUUGUUGGUGAGGUAAUGGCUCACCAAGGCGACGACGGGUAGCCGGCCUGAGAGGGUGACCGGCCACACUGGGACUGAGACACGGCCCAGACUCCUACGGGAGGCAGCAGUGGGGAAUAUUGCACAAUGGGCGAAAGCCUGAUGCAGCGACGCCGCGUGAGGGAUGACGGCCUUCGGGUUGUAAACCUCUUUCAGUAGGGAACAAGGCCAGCAUUUUUGUUGGUUGAGGGUACUUGCAGAAGAAGCGCCGGCUAACUACGUGCCAGCAGCCGCGGUAAUACGUAGGGCGCAAGCGUUAUCCGGAAUUAUUGGGCGUAAAGAGCUCGUAGGCGGUUUGUCGCGUCUGCCGUGAAAGUCCGGGGCUCAACCCCGGAUCUGCGGUGGGUACGGGCAGACUAGAGUGAUGUAGGGGAGACUGGAAUUCCUGGUGUAGCGGUGAAAUGCGCAGAUAUCAGGAGGAACACCGAUGGCGAAGGCAGGUCUCUGGGCAUUAACUGACGCUGAGGAGCGAAAGCAUGGGGAGCGAACAGGAUUAGAUACCCUGGUAGUCCAUGCCGUAAACGUUGGGCACUAGGUGUGGGGGACAUUCCACGUUUUCCGCGCCGUAGCUAACGCAUUAAGUGCCCCGCCUGGGGAGUACGGCCGCAAGGCUAAAACUCAAAGGAAUUGACGGGGGCCCGCACAAGCGGCGGAGCAUGCGGAUUAAUUCGAUGCAACGCGAAGAACCUUACCAAGGCUUGACAUGAACCGGUAAUACCUGGAAACAGGUGCCCCGCUUGCGGUCGGUUUACAGGUGGUGCAUGGUUGUCGUCAGCUCGUGUCGUGAGAUGUUGGGUUAAGUCCCGCAACGAGCGCAACCCUCGUUCUAUGUUGCCAGCACGUAAUGGUGGGGACUCAUAGGAGACUGCCGGGGUCAACUCGGAGGAAGGUGAGGACGACGUCAAAUCAUCAUGCCCCUUAUGUCUUGGGCUUCACGCAUGCUACAAUGGCCGGUACAAUGGGUUGCGAUACUGUGAGGUGGAGCUAAUCCCAAAAAGCCGGUCUCAGUUCGGAUUGGGGUCUGCAACUCGACCCCAUGAAGUCGGAGUCGCUAGUAAUCGCAGAUCAGCAACGCUGCGGUGAAUACGUUCCCGGGCCUUGUACACACCGCCCGUCAAGUCACGAAAGUUGGUAACACCUAGAAGCCGGUG